Molecule: non-coding RNA, 499 nt
Organism: Cinara cedri
Lineage: Eukaryota; Metazoa; Arthropoda; Insecta; Hemiptera; Aphididae
Source: the annotation of a GenBank genome assembly
AUCAUGUUAUUUGCAACACUCGUAUCUAAAUCCAACACGGAAUACACAAAUGCAAACGUCUCCGUGGUACAAACGGUUCACGGAUACUGGAGAAAACAGCUGCAGUUUAUCAGCGCCUUGGCGAGCGGUCUCGGCUAGGAAACUGUGCUUCAACACCGUGGGCCGUUUUGUUUUCGUUUCGUUCCCGCAAACGACUCGUCGUAAUCCGUUCGUACCUGUAAUUUUCGGCCUAGUCGGCGAACGGUCGUUUUUUGGAUGUGACUCAUUGUUUUUCACAACGAACGGGAGAAACCGACGAUUUCUAAUGGUUUCUGGGUCGCCCCGACACGAAUGGGAGCAAUACGACACUCUGCUCAGAAUAGUUUUUCGACAUUAACGGUUUAUCAUCGCGUACAUGUAUACACUGAAUUACCAUACAAUAUACACAAUCCCUUGAAACUUUAUUCCUUCUUAAACGACGCACAACCUUUGGCAGUAUCAGCUUUUUUCUUUAAAAUGU